GACGAACGCUGGCGGCGUGCUUAACACAUGCAAGUCGAACGGAAAGGCCCUGCUUUUGUGGGGUGCUCGAGUGGCGAACGGGUGAGUAACACGUGAGUAACCUGCCCUUGACUUUGGGAUAACUUCAGGAAACUGGGGCUAAUACCGGAUAGGAGCUCCUGCUGCAUGGUGGGGGUUGGAAAGUUUCGGCGGUUGGGGAUGGACUCGCGGCUUAUCAGCUUGUUGGUGGGGUAGUGGCUUACCAAGGCUUUGACGGGUAGCCGGCCUGAGAGGGUGACCGGCGACAUUGGGACUGAGAUACGGCCCAGACUCCUACGGGAGGCAGCAGUGGGGAAUAUGGCACAAUGGGCCGAAGCCUGAGGCAGCAACGCCGCGUGCGGGAUGACGGCCUUCGGGUUGUAAACCGCUUUCGCCGGUGACGAAGCGUGAGUGACGGUAAUGGGUAAAGAAGCACCGGCUAACUACGUG
RNAcentral lists this ribosomal RNA (468 nucleotides) under uncultured bacterium. Its description in RNAcentral is "partial 16S ribosomal RNA". It matches the Rfam family "Bacterial small subunit ribosomal RNA", at positions 28 to 507 of the family's 1533-position model. The record is from RNAcentral.